GAGUUUGAUCCUGGCUCAGAUUGAACGCUGGCGGCAUGCCUUACACAUGCAAGUCGAACGGCAGCAUGAUCUAGCUUGCUAGAUUGAUGGCGAGUGGCGAACGGGUGAGUAAUACAUCGGAACGUGCCCUGUAGUGGGGGAUAACUAGUCGAAAGAUUAGCUAAUACCGCAUACGACCUGAGGGUGAAAGUGGGGGACCGCAAGGCCUCAUGCUAUAGGAGCGGCCGAUGUCUGAUUAGCUAGUUGGUGGGGUAAAGGCCCACCAAGGCGACGAUCAGUAGCUGGUCUGAGAGGACGAUCAGCCACACUGGGACUGAGACACGGCCCAGACUCCUACGGGAGGCAGCAGUGGGGAAUUUUGGACAAUGGGCGAAAGCCUGAUCCAGCAAUGCCGCGUGUGUGAAGAAGGCCUUCGGGUUGUAAAGCACUUUUGUCCGGAAAGAAAUGGCUCUGGUUAAUACCUGGGGUCGAUGACGGUACCGGAAGAAUAAGGACCGGCUAACUACGUGCCAGCAGCCGCGGUAAUACGUAGGGUCCAAGCGUUAAUCGGAAUUACUGGGCGUAAAGCGUGCGCAGGC
RNAcentral lists this ribosomal RNA (578 nucleotides) under uncultured bacterium. RNAcentral describes it as "bacterial SSU rRNA". It matches the Rfam family "Bacterial small subunit ribosomal RNA", at positions 9 to 576 of the family's 1533-position model. The record is from RNAcentral.